RNAcentral lists this long non-coding RNA (370 nucleotides) under Setaria italica (foxtail millet). RNAcentral's name for it is "long non-coding RNA (SITA_LNC004232)". Lineage: Eukaryota; Viridiplantae; Streptophyta; Magnoliopsida; Poales; Poaceae. The record is from RNAcentral.
CUCGCAGUAGUCGUAGUGCAUGUAGUUCUUCUUGGCCCAGGCGACGGUGCCCCACUCGGCGGUGUUGAGCUGCCGGUUCAUCCAGCGGUCGGUGCCGGCGGGGCAGGAGAGCGGGCGGCCGUCGCCGUUGGGGGUGCAGGCGUCGGCGUUGUAGCCGCGGUAGGAGACGACGAAGGGGGAGUCGGCCCAGUCGACCUUCACCUUCCCCUGCUGCGUGGCCCAGUAGCUGCCGUCCCAGAGCGUGGCGUGCACGGACAUGGGCUUGCCGCCGGGGUACGGGAGGUCGGCGUAGCGCUUGAAGCUCCGGAUGAAGAGGUCGUCCACCUUGAAGAUGACGUUCUUGUCGUUCCAGAUGAUGGUGUAGGUGUGG